Molecule: non-coding RNA, 23 nt
Filed under: Cricetulus griseus (Chinese hamster)
Lineage: Eukaryota; Metazoa; Chordata; Mammalia; Rodentia; Cricetidae
Source: RNAcentral
UUUGUAUUGGAAGGGCUCGUCGC